This 64-nucleotide transfer RNA is filed under the name Empoascanara angkhangica. RNAcentral's name for it is "tRNA-Trp". The record is from RNAcentral. Lineage: Eukaryota; Metazoa; Arthropoda; Insecta; Hemiptera; Cicadellidae.
AAGAUUUUAAGUUAAAUAAACUAUUAACCUUCAAAGUUAAAUAUAUCUCUACAGAUAAGUCUUA